RNAcentral lists this ribosomal RNA (301 nucleotides) under uncultured bacterium. RNAcentral describes it as "partial 16S ribosomal RNA". It matches the Rfam family "Bacterial small subunit ribosomal RNA", at positions 509 to 807 of the family's 1533-position model. The record is from RNAcentral.
CAGCAGCCACGGUAACACGUAGGUGGCAAGCGUUGUCCGGAAUUAUUGGGCGUAAAGGGCUCGCAGGCGGUUUCUUAAGUCUGAUGUGAAAGCCCCCGGCUCAACCGGGGAGGGUCAUUGGAAACUGGGAAACUUGAGUGCAGAAGAGGAGAGUGGAAUUCCACGUGUAGCGGUGAAAUGCGUAGAGAUGUGGAGGAACACCAGUGGCGAAGGCGACUCCCUGGUCUGUAACUGACGCUGAGGAGCGAAAGCGUGGGGAGCGAACAGGAUUAGAUACCCCGGUAGUCCCUGUCUCUUAUAC